This is an RNA transcript of Mandrillus leucophaeus (drill), 2083 nucleotides long. It is a transcript of the gene named UDP-glucuronosyltransferase 2B30, with no coding region annotated. The record is from RefSeq and is a predicted model, not a curated record. The transcript has 7 exons. NCBI's taxonomy places the organism in Eukaryota, Metazoa, Chordata, Mammalia, Primates, Cercopithecidae.
AAGGAGCAGCAACUGGAAAAUAAGCAUUGCAUUGCAUCAGGAUGUCUAUGAAAUGGACUUCAGCUCUUCUGCUGAUACAGCUGAGCUGUUACUUGAGCUCUGGGAAUUGUGGAAAGGUCCUGGUGUGGCCCACAGAAUUCAGCCAUUGGAUGAAUAUAAAGACAAUCCUGGAUGAGCUUGUCCAGCGAGGUCAUGAGGUGACUGUAUUGGCAUAUUCACCUUCCAUUCUUCCUGGUCCCAACAACCCAUCCGCUCUUAAAUUUGAAAUUUGUCCGACAUCUUUAACUGAAACUGAGUUUGAGGAUAGCGUCACACAACUGGUUAAGAGAUGGUCAGACAUUCCAAAAGACACAUUUUGGCCACAUUUUUUACAAGUACAAGAAAUGAUGUGGACAUAUGGUGACAUGAUUAGAAAGUUCUGUAAAGAUGUGGUUUCUAAUAAGAAACUUAUGAAGAAACUACAGGAGUCAAGAUUUGAUGUUGUUCUUGCAGAUGCUGUUUCCCCCUGUGGUGAGCUGCUGGCCGAGCUACUUAAAUUACCCUUUGUGUAUAGCCUCCGCUUCUCUCCUGGCUACGCGAUUGAAAAGCAUGGUGGAGGAUUUCUGUUCCCUCCUUCCUAUGUACCUGUUGUUAUGUCAGAAUUUAGUGAUCAAAUGAGUUUCAUGGAGAGAGUAAAAAAUAUGAUCUAUAUGAUUUAUUUUGACUUUUGGUUUCAAGCAUGGGAUACGAAGAAGUGGGGUCAGUUUUACAGUGAAGUUCUAGGAAGACCUACUACAUUAUUCGAGACAAUGGCAAAAGCUGAAAUAUGGCUUAUUCGAAACUACUGGGAUUUUCAAUUUCCUCACCCACUCUUACCAAAUGUUAAGUUAGUUGGAGGACUCCACUGCAAACCUGCCAAACCCCUACCUAAGGAAAUGGAAGAGUUUGUACAGAGCUCUGGAGACAAUGGUGUUGUGGUGUUUUCUCUGGGGUCGAUGAUCAGUAACAUGUCAGAAGAAAGGGCCAACGUAAUUGCAUCAGCACUCGCCAAGAUCCCACAAAAGGUUCUGUGGAGAUUUGAUGGGAAAAAACCAGAUACCUUAGGAAUCAAUACACAGCUGUACAAGUGGCUACCCCAGAAUGAUCUUCUUGGUCAUCCAAAAACCAGAGCUUUUAUAACUCAUGGUGGAGCCAAUGGCAUCUACGAGGCGAUCUACCAUGGAAUUCCCAUGGUGGGCGUUCCAUUGUUUGCAGAUCAGCUUGAUAACAUUGCACACAUGAAGGCCAAGGGCGCAGCUGUUAGUCUGGACUUCAACACAAUGUCGAGUACAGACUUACUCCAUGCACUGAAAACUGUAAUUAAUGACCCUUUGGGGUCUCACUCUGUCACCAGGCUGGAGUGGAGUGCAGUGGUGUGAUCUUGGCUCACUGCAACCUCCCCGUCUUGGGUUCAAGUGAUCCUCCUGUCUCAGCCUCCCAAGUAGCUGGGACUACAGGUGUGUGCCACCAUGCCUGGAUAUAAAGAGAAUGCUAUGAAAUUAUCAAGCAUUCAUCAUGAUCAACCAGUGAAGCCCCUGGAUCAAGCAGUCUUCUGGAUUGAAUUUGUCAUGCGCCAUAAAGGAGCCAAACACCUUCGGGUUGCUGCCUACGACCUCACCUGGUUCCAGUACCACUCUUUGGAUGUGAUUGGGUUCCUGCUGGCCUGUGUGGCAACUGUGAUUUUCAUCAUCACAAAAUGUCUGUUUUGUGUCUGGAAGUUUGUUAGAACAGGAAAGAAGGGAAAAAUAGAUUAAUUAUGUCUGAGGUUGGAAGCUGCAAAAUCCGAUAAAUGAGACUCCUUCAGUUUAUUACAACAAGAAGAGGUCGUGAUACAAGAUUCCUUUCUUCUUGUCAUAAAACAUCUUUCAAAAUUUACCUUUUCAAGUCUAAAUUUCUUUUUUAGAGAUUUAGUACCUGUUUAACUAUUAGAAAUAUUUCACUUCAAGGAGGAAAACAUUAGGGAAAAUAAAAAUGAUAUAAAGUCAUAUGAGCUUAUAUUGAAAUUUAUUGAGCUUAUAUUGAAAUUUAUUGUUUUACUUCACAGUUUAUAUGAAAAAAUGUACUA